This 29-nucleotide non-coding RNA is filed under the name Rattus norvegicus (Norway rat). Lineage: Eukaryota; Metazoa; Chordata; Mammalia; Rodentia; Muridae. The record is from RNAcentral.
UAGGAGCUUGUGUCAUGUUUCUUGUUGGA